AUUGAACGCUGGCGGCAGGCCUAACACAUGCAAGUCGAGCGGAGGAAGGGAGCUUGCUCCUGGAUUCAGCGGCGGACGGGUGAGUGAUGCCUAGGAAUCUGCCUGGUAGUGGGGGAUAACGUCCGGAAACGGGCGCUAAUACCGCAUACGUCCUGAGGGGGAAAGUGGGGGAUCUUCGGACCUCACGCUAUCAGAUGAGCCUAGGUUGGAUUAGCUAGUUGGUGGGGUAGAGGCCUACCAAGGCGACGAUCCGUAACUGGUCUGAGAGGAUGAUCAGUCACACUGGAACUGAGACACGGUCCAGACUCCUACGGGAGGCAGCAGUGGGGAAUAUUGGACAAUGGGCGAAAGCCUGAUCCAGCCAUGCCGCGUGGGUGAAGAAGGUCUUCGGAUUGUAAAGCACUUUAAGUUGGGAGGAAGGGCAGUAAGUUAAUACCUUGCUGUUUUGACGUUACCAACAGAAUAAGCACCGGCUAACUUCGUG
Molecule: ribosomal RNA, 484 nt
Filed under: uncultured bacterium
Lineage: Bacteria
Description: partial 16S ribosomal RNA
Rfam family: Bacterial small subunit ribosomal RNA
Source: RNAcentral